RNAcentral lists this ribosomal RNA (503 nucleotides) under uncultured bacterium. Its description in RNAcentral is "partial 16S ribosomal RNA". It matches the Rfam family "Bacterial small subunit ribosomal RNA", at positions 30 to 523 of the family's 1533-position model. The record is from RNAcentral.
AUUGAACGCUGGCGGCAGGCUUAACACAUGCAAGUCGAGCGGGGUGAUGGUGCUUGCACUAUCACUUAGCGGCGGACGGGUGAGUAAUGCUUAGGAAUCUGCCUAUUAGUGGGGGACAACAUCUCGAAAGGGAUGCUAAUACCGCAUACGUCCUACGGGAGAAAGCAGGGGAUCACUUGUGACCUUGCGCUAAUAGAUGAGCCUAAGUCGGAUUAGCUAGUUGGUGGGGUAAAGGCCUACCAAGGCGACGAUCUGUAGCGGGUCUGAGAGGAUGAUCCGCCAAACUGGGACUGGGACAAGGCCCCGACUCCUACGGGAGGCAGCAGUGGGGAAUAUUGGACAAUGGGGGGAACCCUGAUCCAGCCAUGCCGCGUGUGUGAAGAAGGCCUUAUGGUUGUAAAGCACUUUAAGCGAGGAGGAGGCUUACCUAGUUAAUACCUGGGAUAAGUGGACGUUACUCGCAGAAUAAGCACCGGCUAACUCUGUGCCAGCCGCCGCCGUAA